GGCUGUUGUGUAGAUGCUAUCUGUGUGUCUUCCUCAUUUUCAUCUUCGAAAUAAUUGUCUGGAUCUUGAAACACCUCUACAUCUAUAGUACUGAUACUGACUUCCUCUGGUAACCCUUCGUGCAUUGAGCUUUCAACAUCAUCCCUUCCUCUUUUUUUAGAGGACUUUGAGUGCUUACCAUAGCUGUAAUUGAUGCCAUC
RNAcentral lists this long non-coding RNA (200 nucleotides) under Elaeis guineensis (African oil palm). RNAcentral describes it as "long non-coding RNA (EGUI_LNC013511)". The record is from RNAcentral. Lineage: Eukaryota; Viridiplantae; Streptophyta; Magnoliopsida; Arecales; Arecaceae.